Molecule: ribosomal RNA, 497 nt
Filed under: uncultured bacterium
Lineage: Bacteria
Description: partial 16S ribosomal RNA
Rfam family: Bacterial small subunit ribosomal RNA
Source: RNAcentral
GACGAACGCUGGCGGCGUGCCUAAUACAUGCAAGUUGAGCGCUGAAGGUUGGUACUUGUACCAACUGGAUGAGCAGCGCACGGGUGAGUAACGCGUGGGGAAUCUGCCUUUGAGCGGGGGACAACAUUUGGAAACGAAUGCUAAUACCGCAUAAAAACUUUAAACACAAGUUUUAAGUUUGAAAGAUGCAAUUGCAUCACUCAAAGAUGAUCCCGCGUUGUAUUAGCUAGUUGGUGAGGUAAAGGCUCACCAAGGCGAUGAUACAUAGCCGACCUGAGAGGGUGAUCGGCCAAAUUGGGACUGAGACACGGCCCAAACCCCUACGGGAGGCAGCAGUAGGGAAUCUUCGGCAAUGGACGAAAGUCUGAACGAGCAACGCCGCGUGAGUGAAGAAGGGUUUCGGAUCGUAAAACUCUGUUGGUAGAGAAGAACGUUGGUGAGAGCGGAAAGCUCAUCAAGUGACGGUAACUACCCAGAAAGGGACGGCUAACUACGUG